Molecule: ribosomal RNA, 446 nt
Filed under: uncultured bacterium
Lineage: Bacteria
Description: partial 16S ribosomal RNA
Rfam family: Bacterial small subunit ribosomal RNA
Source: RNAcentral
GUAAGGAAUAUUGGUCAAUGGGGGCAACCCUGAACCAGCCAUGCCGCGUGAAGGAUGAAGGCGUUAUGCGUUGUAAACUUCUUUUGUAUGGGAAGAAUGACAGGGAUUUAUCCUUGGAGAGACGGUACCAUACGAAUAAGCACCGGCUAACUCCGUGCCAGCAGCCGCGGUAAUACGGAGGGUGCAAGCGUUAUCCGGAAUCACUGGGUUUAAAGGGUACGUAGGCGGUUAAUUAAGUCAGUAGUGAAAGACUGUCGCUCAACGACGGAUGUGCUAUUGAUACUGGUUAACUUGAAUCAGGUUAGAGUUGGCGGAAUGGGUCAUGUAGCGGUGAAAUGCUUAGAUAUGGCACAGAACACCAAUUGCGAAGGCAGCUCACUAAGGCGAUACUGACGCUGAGGCACGAAAGCGUGGGGAUCGAACAGGAUUAGAUACCCUUGUAGUCC